This 259-nucleotide ribosomal RNA is filed under the name uncultured bacterium. RNAcentral's name for it is "partial 16S ribosomal RNA". It matches the Rfam family "Bacterial small subunit ribosomal RNA", at positions 793 to 1055 of the family's 1533-position model. The record is from RNAcentral.
GUCCACGCCGUAACGAUGACUGCUAGGUGUCGGUGGCAAAGCCAUUCGGUGCCGCAGCUAACACAAUAAGCAGUCCACCUGGGAGUACGUUCGCAAGAAUGAAACUCAAAGGAAUUGACGGGGACCCACACAAGCGGUGGAGCAUGUGGUUUAAUUCGAAGCAACGCGAAGAACCUUACCUGAUCUUGACAUCCCGAUGACCGCUUCGUAAUGGAAGUUUUCUUCGGAACAUCGGUGACAGGUGGUGCAUGGUUGUCGU